CGCGGCCUAUCAGCUUGUUGGUGAGGUAACGGCUCACCAAGGCGACGACGGGUAGCCGGCCUGAGAGGGCGACCGGCCACACUGGGACUGAGAUACGGCCCAGACUCCUACGGGAGGCAGCAGUGGGGAAUAUUGCGCAAUGGGCGAAAGCCUGACGCAGCAACGCCGCGUGCGGGAUGACGGCCUUCGGGUUGUAAACCGCUUUCAGCAGGGACGAAGGGUUACCUUGACGGUACCUGCAGAAGAAGCACCGGCUAACUACGUGCCAGCAGCCGCGGUGAUACGUAGGGUGCGAGCGUUGUCCGGAAUUAUUGGGCGUAAAGAGCUUGUAGGCGGUCUGUUGCGUCGGAAGUGAAAACUCAGGGCUUAACCCUGAGCCUGCUUUCGAUACGGGCAGACUUGAGGGAUGUAGGGGAGAACGGAAUUCCUGGUGGAGCGGUGGAAUGCGCAGAUAUCAGGAGGAACACCAGUGGCGAAGGCGGUUCUCUGGACAUUUCCUGACGCUGAGAAGCGAAAGCGUGGGGAGCAAACAGGCUUAGAUACCCUGGUAGUCCACGCCGUAAACGGUGGGCACUAGGUGUGGGACCCAUUCCACGGGUUCCGUGCCGAAGCUAACGCAUUAAGUGCCCCGCCUGGGGAGUACGG
This 645-nucleotide ribosomal RNA is filed under the name uncultured bacterium. Its description in RNAcentral is "bacterial SSU rRNA". It matches the Rfam family "Bacterial small subunit ribosomal RNA", at positions 232 to 885 of the family's 1533-position model. The record is from RNAcentral.